CUUCAGAUAACCUAAAUAAGGUAUUGGCCUCUUAAGCCUAAUUAUAGAAUUUCUUCUGAAGA
RNAcentral lists this transfer RNA (62 nucleotides) under Songthela hangzhouensis. Its description in RNAcentral is "tRNA-Lys". Lineage: Eukaryota; Metazoa; Arthropoda; Arachnida; Araneae; Liphistiidae. The record is from RNAcentral.